CACUGCUAAAAUGGGAGACAAAAGCCU
RNAcentral lists this non-coding RNA (27 nucleotides) under Cricetulus griseus (Chinese hamster). Lineage: Eukaryota; Metazoa; Chordata; Mammalia; Rodentia; Cricetidae. The record is from RNAcentral.